Molecule: ribosomal RNA, 620 nt
Filed under: uncultured bacterium
Lineage: Bacteria
Description: bacterial SSU rRNA
Rfam family: Bacterial small subunit ribosomal RNA
Source: RNAcentral
CGUAGGUAAUCUACCUUUGGGUGGGGAAUAACAGCCGGAAACGGCUGCUAAUACCGCAUAAUGCAGCGGCUCGACAUCGAGACAGUUGUUAAAGCGGGGGAUCGUAAGACCUCGCGCCUAAAGAGGAGCCUGCGGCAGAUUAGCUAGUUGGAAGGGUAACGGCCUACCAAGGCGACGAUCUGUAGCCGGCCUGAGAGGGCGGUCGGCCACACUGACACUGACAUACGGGUCAGACUCCUACGGGAGGCAGCAGUCGGGAAUUUUGGGCAAUGGGCGAAAGCCUGACCCAGCAACGCCGCGUGAAGGAUGAAAUCCCUCGGGAUGUAAACUUCGCAAGAAUGGGAAGAAUAAGGAAGGGUUAAUACUCCUUUUGAUGACGGUACCAUUUGUAAGCUCCGGCUAACUCCGUGCCAGCAGCCGCGGUAAUACGGGGGGAGCAAGCGUUGUUCGGAUUUACUGGGCGUAAAGGGCGCGUAGGCGGCCACUACAAGUCAGUUGUGAAAUCUCCGGGCUUAACUCGGAACGGUCAACUGAUACUGUCGGGCUAGAGUACAGAAGGGGCAACUGGAAUUCUCGGUGUAGCGGUGAAAUGCGUAGAUAUCGAGAGGAACACCUGCGGC